CCUACGGGAGUCAGCAGUGAGGAAUAUUUGUCAAUGGACGCAAGUCUGAACCAGUCAUGCCGCGUGCAGGAAGACGGCUCUAUGAGUUGUCAACUGCUUUUGUACGAGGGUAAACGCAGAUACGCGUAUCUGUCUGAAAGUAUCGUACGAAUAAGGAUCGGCUAACUCCGUGCUAGCAGCCGCGGUAAUACGGAGGAUUCAAGCGUUAUCCGGAUUUAUUGGGUUUAAAGGGUGCGUAGGCGGUCGGAUAAGUUAGAGGUGAAAUCCCGAGGCUCAACUUCGGAAUUGCCUCUGAUACUGUUCGGCUAGAGAGUAGUUGCGGUAGGCGGAAUGUAUGGUGUAGCGGUGAAAUGCUUAGAGAUCAUACAGAACACCGAUUGCGAAGGCAGCUUACCAAGCUACUUCUGACGUUGAGGCACGAAAGCGUGGGGAGCAAACAGGAUUAGAUACCCGAGUAGUC
RNAcentral lists this ribosomal RNA (460 nucleotides) under uncultured bacterium. RNAcentral describes it as "partial 16S ribosomal RNA". It matches the Rfam family "Bacterial small subunit ribosomal RNA", at positions 338 to 795 of the family's 1533-position model. The record is from RNAcentral.